This 249-nucleotide signal recognition particle RNA is filed under the name Saimiri boliviensis boliviensis (Bolivian squirrel monkey). Its description in RNAcentral is "Metazoan signal recognition particle RNA (ENSSBOG00000014053.1)". It matches the Rfam family "Metazoan signal recognition particle RNA". Rfam says of the family: The signal recognition particle (SRP) is a universally conserved ribonucleoprotein. It is involved in the co-translational targeting of proteins to membranes. The record is from Rfam by way of RNAcentral. Lineage: Eukaryota; Metazoa; Chordata; Mammalia; Primates; Cebidae.
ACUGGGCACGGUGGCGUGUGCUUGUAGUACUAGGUGCUUGGGAGGCUGGGCUGUGUUGUGCUAUGCCGAUUGGGUGUCUACACUAAGUGUGGCACCAAUAUGGUGACCUCCCAGGAGCGAGGGACCACCAGGUUGCCUGAGAAGGGGUAAACUGGCCCAGUUUGGAAAUGGAGCAGGUCAAAAUUCCCAUGCUGAUCAGUAGUGGGAUUGCACUUGCGAAUAGCCACUGCACUGCAGACUGGGCAACAU